Molecule: unclassified non-coding RNA, 8304 nt
Filed under: Leishmania donovani
Lineage: Eukaryota; Euglenozoa; Kinetoplastea; Trypanosomatida; Trypanosomatidae
Description: gene:LdHU3.32.0340(CDS-product:hypothetical_prote in_conserved)
Source: RNAcentral
AGAACUCCCGUCCCUGACGAGUAGAGUGACACAGCUCGACGGUGAUUGAAGCCCUCCUCCUCCUCCGUACUGACAAGAAGAACCUUGCAUAGGAGCCGCCGUCGAAACGGAAAAAGGCCCCAAGAAAACAAAACACGCAUUUCACGCAUCGCCCACACCUGCGCUGGCGAGUCAUGCAAGCCGCCACACACGUGGCACGGCACAUCUUUGCUUUUUCCCCGUUAUCGCCUCCACACCUGACGCCCCUCGCGCUCCUUUUGUUCGAGUCGUGAAUGACGUCGCGAUUCCAGCAGCUUUUGGUGAGGGACAGCGACGAGGACAGCUCCGCCAGCGACGUUCAGGCGAACCGCACGCAAAGAAGCACCGGGGCUGGGAUUUCACAGACGACACCGCAUCCAAGUGCGACGCCGAAUCCAGCGAACCAAAGCGUUUCUCCCGUCAAACCGGCUUCGGUCACAGCAUCUGCUCCAGCGCGUGGGCCGAUCGCACCAACAGCAGCGACAGCAAGCACCUCAUCACGCACGGGGACGCAGCUCAACCAGAGCGUCGCCUCCUCAACGCACUUCGUGGUUGAGCCGACACCGCAAGACAUCGAUGCAGGGGGCAACCCCGCCGGCUCGACGGACGGCGCUUCCAUCUCCUUUCAUGCAGAACCCAUCUCACGCCACGACGGGCAGCAGGUCUCCUCCUCACAACAGAGCAUCAACUUUAGUUUUGUGCCCUCCAACGUUGUCCCGUCGGUGCGGAACGAUUCAGUGAGUGCGAGGCCGGUGCCGGCGGUGCGAAGCCGCCCUGGCAGUGGCUCUGGUCGCAACACACCUCGCACCUCGGUCGCGAAUGCCAAGGUUCCGGCGCGACGAGAGGAGUCGGAAGGGUCCAUCGUUUUCGAUGAGGAUGAUCCGCCGCAGCGCACCGCGUCACAGCUUCUCGUCGCCACCACGGACGGCGCCACACCGCGUGGGUCGGGGGCUUCCGCGGCGAGCGAAGGAGGGAGGAAGAAGGGCACGAAGGUGGUGCGGAGACAAGUCGUGGUGCGCCGUAAGAAGGGGGCCCACCCGAGCGAUCCAGGGGAGGUGGUGCGAAUAGACGAGCAGGUGAUUCGACCUGGACGCGCAGAUGGCGCUGCAGCGGCCGCGGCGUCGGCCUGGACACAGCUGGCGCCACCUCCUUUCCGCGUUUCGCCCCGUUCGCAGCAGGCAGCCGAGAGCCGCUCUGCCAGCCGCAGGGCGACACCUGCUGAGGGACCCCGCACUCCGGGUAGCGGGGUGUGCGAGAUGCCGCCGCAGAUCCCCACCACACGUGCGGACAGCCGAGGAAUAUCGCCUCGCACGCCGCGUAGGGCUCACAGUACAGAGGCUUCGCGACCGUCAGCGCGCUCGCACCACAAAAACGCCAGCGCCACCAAUCCACUGCUCCCUCUCCAGUCGCCCCAUCCCGUCGUCCGUCCGUCCAACCGCAAGGGGACACCGAGGUCCGCCACAGUUCCUACCGAGACACCGAUCGAGUUCGAGGUGGCGGCCGGCGCGAUGACAGACACGCCCAAUUUCUGCACUGACGACAGCAUAUCUUUUCAGCUCGACCGCGCCUCAGCUGCGACACCGCAGCGCACCGCCGACAAUGGCAACGCCCACCGGAGGCGCCGUCCGCAGAUUCCUUCCCCCUCCGCCCUCGACGACGGCCCCACACCACUCACGGUGGACGAGUGCGGCCAGCUGAUGCCUGCGCCCCGGGACAAGGUUCGGCAGACGACGACAGAAGACGGGCGCAAGACAUGGAUGCUGUACAGCCCCCGUCGCGGCGAUGCCGCCGCUACACUCGCGCAGGAGAUUCCGGCCCCGCCGCUGAAGCUGUCGCGGCGGGCGCAGGACAUUCUGGCUGCAAAGAGGCGCGCUUUAGAGGAUGGCGCCAAACAGCGCCAUGCCGACAGCGAGAAGCUCCGCGCUGAGCCUGAGAGGCGGCUCGGCAUCUCGCGACGCACGCACAGGAGCUUCGCAUUUCAUCCCACUGCCUUCUAUUCUGACGACUUGGCCCGCCAGCACGGGGAGGAGGCGGCAAGGAUGCAGGACGAUCGGUGGGCCGCGUACGUAUAUGAUGGCAUGGCGGUGUGCACGGAGACACGCCGCGCCAGUGGCACCGCGACCAGCCGCUGGGAGACGGAGAAGGUGGUGCGUACGCUGCAGCCGGUGCAGGUGGCGCCGGCGGAGGGCACCACUGGCACGUGCGGGUGUGCUACCUACGACUCGAUGCAUACGGACGAUGACCUGCGUCGCUUGAUCGACAGCAGCGGCGCCCGUGAAGACGGCGUCCGCCACUACUUGAACCUGCAGCCCAUGCAGCUGGCGAACGUGGAGACGCAGCAGAUGGUAGACCCGCCGCUGGAGUCGGCAGGCCGCGGGCCGGUGUCGCCGUCGGAGGCGCAGAGCGCGGUCGAGGCGAGCCACAAGAGCGUCUCGGAACAGCGUGGCGUGGCGACGCUUGGUGGCCUGUGGUGCACGGUGGAGGCUCUGCGAGAAGACGGCCGCCCUGCUGUGCGCAAGGACAUGAGUGCAUCACGACGUAUCUUGCGCAUCUGCGGCGGGCAGGCGCUCAGCGUAUCCCCGCACGCUGGCAGCGGCAAAUCGUUCGACGUGCGCUGCUACGAGCUGCUGCUCUUCGCGCGGGAGUUGCUUAGCCCGUCAGCGGUCAACUACGGAUCGGAGGGGCUUACGCUUGGCCAAGUCGUCGCACCGCCAGCGUCCUCCUUCCCGCUGACACCGCGCAUCAUCGAUGACCCGGUGACUCUGAAGGAGUACAAGAAGCGCUUGCUGGCGACGAAGAGCCGCCAGGUUUCGAUUGUGAACUGCGAGGACGACCGCGCCACGUUUGCGGCGGCGCCGGAGGCAUCUGGCCCCGGCGGCAAGGCGGGAGGUAGCGCAGUGCAGUACCUCACCCUCACCACAGCGACCAUCAGCUCUCGGCAGAAGUACACGAUUGAUCUGGCACUCGUCUUGCUACCGUUCCGCACCAGCGGCAUCUUUGCCGGCAAGACCGUGGCGGAGGUGCCGCGGUUUUGCGCGACGACUGUGAUGCUGCACCGCCGUCUGCAGGGUCUCUCCCUAUCCUUCUCCACCAAAUCAGCCUUCAUGUCGGCCUACAAGGCACUGCUGUGGGCUACGGAGUGCGACAUUGUGGAUGUGAAGCCCGCGGACGGCGAGGAGGGUGACGUGCCCGGCGCUGGAUACUCGAAACUUCGCGUCUGCGCUACGACGUCGCCGAUGGUGCCGUGGGUGGCGUCACUCGGCAAGAGCACACCCGGGCAGCCGAAGGAGGACACCUUCCACGGCAACUGCCUGGAUUUCGCGGCGCUAACACUGGCGGCACCGCCCGGCGCCGUUCAUAGGGCUGAAGCCGACGGCCGCGACCCCCUCACGCUGGAGGACUUUGUUAUCACCGAUGGCGCACCGAACGGCAACGGAGCGGACGACGGCGCUCAAAGUGGGCAGGGCGGCACGCCAACGCGACAACGGCGCCGCAGCACCAUCUUCACAAGCACCUUCGCUCCGCCCAAGGCCGCCGACGCUGAGGGGGGUAGCACCCUUCACAACGCCGACACGGUUGUCGGCCUCACCGCCUUCGGCGUGAUUCGGCGGGCGGUGAGUCAGAGAACGUCCGAGGUGUUCGAUGUGCGGGUGAUACCACGCAACCGCGGCCGCAUGGCUCCUACUACCCGCACCGACACUGCGACGACGGCGGCCGGCGGGCAAACUGCCAAGGCGCAAGAGGAGCACCUUCUGCAGCAGGACGCAGAGGCGGCUAUCAUGAUCGAGUACGCCACUCGCCUGCCUUUCCACUCCCGUGUGUACGGCGUCCUGGUAGACGAUCAGCGCUACUACAUCUUCCAGGAGCCGUGGGUCUCGGCGCUGUCGCUCGAGGAGUCUUUGAAAGGCUUCACCGAGCAUGAUGCGCUGGAGUCCAACGAAAUGCUCAGCAAGAUGACGCGGGCAACGACCAUUAUGUCGCUCAAGGACUUUAUUCACGCCAUUCUGCGCCCUAGCGAGUGCGGGUCGGGGGCCAGUGAGGAAGUGCGGCUGGAGAUUGCUCGAGUGCUCGCUGCCCAGCUACUUCUUCUCGUGACCUCGCUGCACGGCAAGGGGAUGCUGCUAGGCCCGUGCCCACCGCAGCGCCUGCUCGUCCGCGUCGAGGAUCCCACCAAUGGCAUCCAGCAGGCCGAGGAGGAGAGCGGCGUGGACAAGCCAGGGAAGAAGACGACUCCGCCGCCAAGUGUGACGUCGAGUAACAUUCAGCUCUUUGUGCCCGACGUCGGCGUCAACACCCUCGCCUGGGGCUACGAGCGUCAGCAGUGUGGUGUGCUUGAGUACCUGCCGCCCAUGUACGUGCUAGAACAGAUGCUAUCGGACUCCUUCGGCAAGAAGGAGCGGCCAUGGACAAUGCGCGAUGACUGGUGGACAUUCCUGGCUCUCUGCUUCGAGCUGUUCGCCGGGGAUGGCAGCGCGCUCGUGGCUCCUGAAGCGACUUCGGUUAUCCCCACUCCGACACCAACGCUCACCAAGUUCUUCUCUCCGGUGGACAUUCUCGAUGUGUGGCAGAAGGUGAUCACAGACUCGGCCUCUGGCGUGGCCAGCACCGCAGCGGAAACGAUCGGGGUGCGCACGCGCCGCUACGUGCACCAGCGCGUGCUCAAGUCGGUAAGCCGCUCCCUGGACAGCUGGUUGGUCACCAAGGCAGAGCAACUGCAAUACUUCGGCACUACUGCCCCCCGCCAUGCGCGUCGCGUCGUGCGUGCCGUACCGCCGCCGCCUGGCGCGCAGGGCAAGGCGAUUGGCGUCUCGCUCGCUGCCAUGUACCUGAAGUGCGCCCAAGAGGUCAGCGACACCUCCGGCAUCGCUUUCCAGACCGACGGCGAGGAGGCCAGCGACGCGUCCGUGGAGAACAUCCUGGCCGACAUGCCGUGGCUCUUUCAGGUGCGCGACUUUUUCGACACCAUCCUCGACGCCGUCUUUUCCCCAACUCUGUGCAGCGUGCACGGGCCGGCGCUGCGACUGGUGUCACACCCUUUUUUCCAUGGUGUGCAGCUGGCGGCGAUUUUUGACGGGUCGCACAUGUAUUCCGCAGCCGUCGCGGACUACGCGGAGAAGCACCUGAGCAAGAGCAAAGUUCAGGCGGCACUGCUGACCUAUCGGACACGUGCGUACCGUGGGCUGCUGAGGCCGCGGAGAGACAUGCCUCUCAUGAUCACCAGCUCCGCGUACAACACCUCCGGCAGGGCGAACUGUGUUGCCCCGCUGCUUAUGUUGCCCACGCCGACUUUCGACGAUGAGCACACCGUGCGCGAGAAUGACAACUCCACGGCAUGGCACGAGUCGGAGGCCAGCCCGGCAGAGGGACUGGUCAUGAGCCGCACGAAUUCGAUGGUGCACUCCGCCAUUCCGUCGCCGCGGUCGCAGUCGUCCGCCGCCGGGAUGUGGGGUCGGCAAAGAUUGAGGGCGAUGUACAACCCGGCAGAGUGGCAGUCCAUUGCGGCGCUGGAGACGGAGGUACGAGGCGCUCUGAACACCCACGGCCCUGGCGAGUCUGUCAGCCGCCGCCGAGGCUCUGUUGAUUCCGACUACGCAUCCAACCCGGUGACCAUUAGCAACCGGCCCAUGCAACCGGUGCAGCGCUACAGAGGUCCGGCGCAGGCGGAGACCACCUCUGUGGCGUCGUCCGGCCGUCGUCGCGACCCUCGCGAGUACGAGCACAUCGUAGACUCGAAGGCGGCACGCACAACUGCGGCGCCGCCACAACGCUACGCUCAUGGCAGUGGACGCAUCAGCCUCCUUGACGAUGCGACAGUGACGCGGUCGGAGACGGUCUUUGGCCAAACAAGCACAGCCCCGUUCGUGCAGCCAUUACCAACAGGGACGUUGUACAACAGCCACCCCGUAACGGGGCGAGAGAGCCAGCGCGGCGCCGCGCCUUUGGCGGCUGUAGGGCCGUUGGAAAGUGUCCGAGAAGAGGCCGCGCCCGCCCGCCAGCCGCACCGCUACGCCGACUCCAGCGAGUUUGAGCGCAGCCUCAACGACUUGGCGCGGAGUCACCCUCACAGGCACCAGAGCAGAGCUGAGGCUGCUUCAUCGUACCACGGCAACGGCAGGGUCGCGGAGGGCUACGGCCCCGGUCCCUCUCAGCUGGAAGUGCCAUCUUCGAAGCGCGGCUCACGACCCGCGUCGCGCCACAGCAACCGCGUGCACCAGGAGGAGUAUGAUAGUCAGCAGUCGUGGCCCCACCAGUUCUUGGAUGCCGCGACCGUGCAGAAGAAGGGCCAACCCUGCAGACUCUCUGACCCACAAAACCCUGUUAUCUACCGCACGACGAUUGACCAGCAGACACAGCGCCCCGUGCACCGCCACGGCUCGCAUAGUCACUACGGCGGCAGCAUCGUGCACGCCGCCUCAGGCUUGAAUGCUUGUCAGGAGAGCAGCAGCGACGAUUCUUACAUGCUGGUGCAGUCCGACGGCGAGGCGGACUCGGUACGGGCACCGAUACCCAACUACCGGUCGAAUAACCUGAACCGCAAGAGCCCUGCCCCCCGUAACCCCCGCGCCUCGCGCACCGAGGUGAUCGCCUCCGACCGGACAUCCUACUUUGAGUUCUAGUACCGUUGGCCCGCGUGCGCGGCUGAGCCAAGUGCUUCUCAGCAUGCACUCACUUUUCCCAGCGCUCACGUCAUGUGCCACGACGAAGUUUUUGUGCGUGUGAGUGUUAAGGCAUACUUGUGCUCUGAUUACGUUGAUGUGUUGUCCCUCUUUUCACACUCUUUUUUGUUGCUGUGCGACGUGUGUCUCUUGCUCCAUCACCCCGCCCUUCUUUACUUUAUCACUCGAUAUCGCAGUGCGCCGGCACUGCUUCGACGUCUCUCUGGGUCGCUUUCUUCUCCCCAUCCGUUUGCGUGCGUUUCGUGCACCGUUGACCGCAUAUAAGGCGGAGGGGGGUAUUGCGGGCCGGAGGCGGGGGUUGGCUGAGGAACUGGGCGGGGUAUCAUCCGCAGCGCCUGCCAUUGUUUCCUGUUCGUUCUCUUCUUUUUUUGUGUGUGUUUGUGUGAGUGACGUGGCGUCGAAUGGCGAAGCUCACGACGUGCGCGUGUGGCUCCAUCACUGUUGUUCACCUCUCUUUUUCUCUGGUGCUUCGUCGGUACCCGGAUGGCGGGGGAGUGGGGGAGGAUAGUUCCAUGCGUGGUGCCGCAGGGCCCAGUACCCCCGCCCUCUCUCUCUCUGGAGAAGCCGGGAGGCCACCCUAUCGCUGGCCAAGUGCCGAACCACCUGUGGUGGUGACAGGGUCGCCGGCGCCGGCGCCGUGCUGGAGGUCCGGGCGACGUAUCGCUGCUGAUGUAGUUGGUCGGGUCCUGGCCGGGCGUUGCAUCGGGGCGACCGGCGACAGUGAACACGCGUGUGCCAUCCAUAUGAUUCGGCAGCGUGUCACCGCGUCUCGAGAGUAACCCGCCCGGGCCCCUACACCGCCCACUGGUGUGCGGGCGGGGGGAGGGCGGGGGCAGCGGCGCCCGCGCCCAUUCCGAGAAGGGAGGGAGGCACCAGCUGGCGACCGGCGAGGCGGCGGGUGGGUGGGGUAGAGCUCGAGGGCAGGUGGCCGUGCUGGGAUGACCGGAUCGGCGCACUGCUGCACCGCGUGCCUGCCGCUUCUUCGCGCGACGCGGGGGGGGGGACUGUGACAGGCCGUGGGUGGAGCGGAGCUUGCCUUGUGUUGGAGUGGCAGAGAAACGGACGAGUAGUGAAGAGCAAAGCCCUCUUCUUUUUUUUUUGCUCUUUUUGUCGUUUUGAGUCGGGUGGCGUAUUUCUUUUUUGGUGUGUGCGCGUUUCAAGUUUGGUUGUGUGGGCUCGGUGCUCGUGGCAUGACUAGAGAUGAGCGGCUCUUUUCGAUGCUUGCUGUUUCUCUCCCUCUAGCUGUUCUUUGAUUUGUGGCGUGGUGCGCUGAGGAUGUCCGUUGGUGUGUGUUUCCCUUCCUCUGUAGACACACACAUAUAUACACACACAUCUUUUCCUGUUCAGCGCCUGCGCGGAAAGCAUCUUCAUUCCGUGGAUGAGAGAGAGAGAGCUGAUAGACGUCCAUUUUUUCAUCCUUGAAUUUCUCCUGUUUAUUCUUCCUUCUUUCCGUGUCCGUUGUUACUGUUCUCUCUCCUGUGACGCACCUUUUCGCGUGUGCAUGCGCUGGCGGAGUGGAGAUGGUCAGACCGCGUUCAAUGUGUACAAGACACUACCGUAAUGGGUAAAGGGCACCCCCCUUUCUUUCCACACACAGGGUCAUAUGCGC